This 304-nucleotide ribosomal RNA is filed under the name uncultured bacterium. RNAcentral describes it as "bacterial SSU rRNA". It matches the Rfam family "Bacterial small subunit ribosomal RNA", at positions 28 to 334 of the family's 1533-position model. The record is from RNAcentral.
GACGAACGCUGGCGGCGUGCCUAACACAUGCAAGUCGGACGGGGUAAUCCUUCGGGAUUACUUAGUGGCGAACGGGUGGGUAACGCGUGAGGAACCUGCCUUCCAGUGGGGGACAACAGUCGGAAACGACUGCUAAUGCCGCAUAACACAACGAGAUCGCAUGAUUUUGUUGUCAAAGCUUUAUGUGCUGGAAGAUGGCCUCGCGUCUGAUUAGCUAGUUGGUGGGGUAACGGCCUACCAAGGCGACGAUCAGUAGCCGGACUGAGAGGUUGAACGGCCACAUUGGGACUGAGAUACGGCCCAG